GACGAACGCUGGCGGCGUGCUUAACACAUGCAUGUCGAACGAUGAAGCCGGAGCUUGCUCCGGUGGAUUAGUGGCGAACGGGUGAGUAACACGUGAGCAAUCUGCCCUUGACUCUGGGAUAACUGCGGGAAACUGUAGCUAAUACCGGAUACGACACCUUGGGGCAUCCCAGGGUGUGGAAAGAAUUUCGGUCAAGGAUGAGCUCGCGGCCUAUCAGCUAGUUGGUGAGGUAAUGGCUCACCAAGGCGACGACGGGUAGCCGGCCUGAGAGGGUGACCGGCCACACUGGAACUGAGACACGGUCCAGACUCCUACGGGAGGCAGCAGUGGGGAAUAUUGCACAAUGGGCGAAAGCCUGACUCAGCAACGCCGCGUGGGGGAUGAAGGCCUUCGGGUUGUAAACCUCUUUUAGCAGGGAAGAAGCGAAAGUGACGGUACCUGCAGAAAAAGCACCGGCUAACUACGUGCCAGCAGCCGCAGUAA
RNAcentral lists this ribosomal RNA (483 nucleotides) under uncultured bacterium. Its description in RNAcentral is "partial 16S ribosomal RNA". It matches the Rfam family "Bacterial small subunit ribosomal RNA", at positions 28 to 523 of the family's 1533-position model. The record is from RNAcentral.